GACGAACGCUGGCGGCGUGCCUAAUACAUGCAAGUCGAGCGAGCUGAAUUCAAAGAUCCCUUCGGGGUGAUUUGUUGGACGCUAGCGGCGGAUGGGUGAGUAACACGUGGGCAAUCUGCCCUAACGACUGGGAUACCACUUGGAAACAGGUGCUAAUACCGGAUAACAACAUGAAUCGCAUGAUUCAAGUUUGAAAGGCGGCGUAAGCUGUCACUUUAGGAUGAGCCCGCGGCGCAUUAGCUAGUUGGUGGGGUAAAGGCCUACCAAGGCAAUGAUGCGUAGCCGAGUUGAGAGACUGAUCGGCCACAUUGGGACUGAGACACGGCCCAAACUCCUACGGGAGGCAGCAGUAGGGAAUCUUCCACAAUGGACGCAAGUCUGAUGGAGCAACGCCGCGUGAGUGAAGAAGGUUUUCGGAUCGUAAAGCUCUGUUGUUGGUGAAGAAGGAUAGAGGCAGUAACUGGUCUUUAUUUGACGGUAAUCAACCAGAAAGUCACGGCUAACUACGUGCCAGCCGCCGCCGUAA
This 526-nucleotide ribosomal RNA is filed under the name uncultured bacterium. RNAcentral describes it as "partial 16S ribosomal RNA". It matches the Rfam family "Bacterial small subunit ribosomal RNA", at positions 28 to 523 of the family's 1533-position model. The record is from RNAcentral.